GAAUGGUUCUACGACUGCUAAUGCCACUGUCCCAUUAAGCGGCAGCCUUCAGAAGAAGGAGAAGCCUUGGAGUAAAGAUGAAAUUGAGCUGUUAAGGAAAGGAAUGCAGAAGUAUCCUAAAGGAACUUCUCGUAGAUGGGAGGUUAUCUCAGAGUACAUUGGUACAGAAAGGUCAGUUGAAGAAAUUUUGAAGGCAACCAAAAC
Molecule: unclassified non-coding RNA, 204 nt
Filed under: Hevea brasiliensis (rubber tree)
Lineage: Eukaryota; Viridiplantae; Streptophyta; Magnoliopsida; Malpighiales; Euphorbiaceae
Source: RNAcentral